UAACAUACAAAUGGAAAUACUAUUAUUUAGGAAGAAAUAACCAGCUUGAAUAAUCUUACAAACUUCAUAUAACCAUUAAACAUGAAAAAAUUUGAACUUCACACACAUCAGCUUCACUGCAUUAACUACAAGAAGCAAUAAACACUAAGAGUUGCUUUCUCUCGAUUUCCAGCUAGGUCUUUUUUUAUUGCUGCAAUAAGAAUUUUCACACCAAGUCCUUCAUUACACGAAAUAACAUUAUGGUAGCCUAAGGAUGAGGAGGGAAAUAAGGUGGAAGGGGUGGGAAAUAUCCAAUCUUGGGGUGGUGGAAGUACUUUGGUGGAAACUUGGGAUGGUGGAAGUACUUUGGAGGAAGCUUAGGAAGAGGAGUAAUGGGUGGGAAAGGUUUCUUAUAUAUUGGAACCAGUGGUGGAAGUGGCUUUGUGUAUACCGGAACUAGAGGUGGGAAUGGCUUCUUGUAAAUAGGAAUUGGUGGAUGCGUAUAAACUGGUAGAGGUGGGAAUGGUUUCUUGUAAAUAGGAAUCGGUGGAUGUGUAUAAACUGGUAGAGGUGGGAGUGGCUUCUUGUAAAUAGGAAUUGGUGGAUGUGUAUAAACCGGUAGAGGUGGGAGUGGCUUCUUGUAAAUAGGAAUUGGUGGAUGCGUAUAAACCGGUGGUUUUGGCUUUGGUUUGUAAACUGGAAUUGGUGGAUGCGUAUAAACCGGUGGCUUUGGCUUUGGUUUGUAAACUGGAACUGGGGUAGGGUUGUAAACUGGUGGUUUUGGUUCGUAAGUAGGAACUGGUGGUGGAAGCGGCUUUGUAUAUACUGGAACUGGUGGUGGAAGCGGCUUUGUAUAUACUGGAAUUGGUGGUGGAAGUGGCUUUGUAUAUACUGGAACUGGCGGUGGAAGCGGGUUCUCAUAUAUUGGUACCGGUGGUGGGAAAGGCUUUUUGUAAAUUGGAGGGAAAGGAAUUUUGUGUUUUGGUGGAAGAGGGAAUAUAUGACCAAAGUGUUUGAAUGGUGGGAGGUACUUUUUCCAUGGGUGUUGAGGCAAAGGUGGUAGUUUGGGUAGUGGAGGAUACUUGUAGUGAGGCCAUAAGAAGGCUGAAGUGCACAAAGCUGUUGAGAAUUUCAGUUUUCCUGUUGGGCCAAAAGUGUGCUUUUCCUCAGAUUUCGAUUGGAAAAUAAUCUUUGAGGCCUCUAUGCCACUGUGAGCAGGGCAUGGUGCUGCUGAUGCACUGUGCAGCUGUGCAUAGCAUUCCUCCUUCAAUUUUCCAUCUUUUAUGAUUUCCUUAGGAAGAUUAACCUUG
This 1289-nucleotide long non-coding RNA is filed under the name Panax ginseng (ginseng). Its description in RNAcentral is "long non-coding RNA (PGIN_LNC017408)". The record is from RNAcentral. Lineage: Eukaryota; Viridiplantae; Streptophyta; Magnoliopsida; Apiales; Araliaceae.